GGCCACAUGGCGCAGUGGUUAGCAUCUGGCUACGUAUUGACGUGGGACAAUCAAUACGCGUGAGUUCGAAUCUCACUGUGGUCG
Molecule: non-coding RNA, 84 nt
Organism: Biscogniauxia sp. FL1348
Lineage: Eukaryota; Fungi; Ascomycota; Sordariomycetes; Xylariales; Xylariaceae
Source: the annotation of a GenBank genome assembly